This 502-nucleotide ribosomal RNA is filed under the name Anaplasma bovis. RNAcentral's name for it is "bacterial SSU rRNA". It matches the Rfam family "Bacterial small subunit ribosomal RNA", at positions 124 to 656 of the family's 1533-position model. Lineage: Bacteria; Pseudomonadati; Pseudomonadota; Alphaproteobacteria; Rickettsiales; Anaplasmataceae. The record is from RNAcentral.
AUCUACCUAGGUGGUAUAGUCAUAGCCACUUUCUAAUGGUGGGUAAUACUGUAUAAUCCCUGCGGGGGAAAGAUUUAUCUCUACUUGAUGAGCCUAUGUUAUAUUAGCUAGUUGGUGGGGUAAUGGCCUACCAAGGCAGUGAUCUAUAGCUGGUCUGAUAGGAUGAUCAGCCACACUGGAACUGAGACACGGUCCAGACUCCUACGGGAGGCAGCAGUGGGGAAUAUUGGACAAUGGGCGCAAGCCUGAUCCAGCUAUGCCGCGUGAGUGAGGAAGGCCUUAGGGUUGUAAAACUCUUUCAGUGGGGAAGAUAAUGACGGUACCCACAGAAUAAGUCCCGGCAAACUCCGUGCCAGCAGCCGCGGUAAUACGGAGGGGGCAAGCGUUUGUUCGGAAUUAUUGGGCGUAAAGGGCAUGUAGGUGGUUUGGUAAGUUAAAGGUGAAAUGCCAGGGCUUAACCCUGGAGCUGCUUUUAAUACUGCCAGACUGGAGUCCGGGAGAA